This 7555-nucleotide long non-coding RNA is filed under the name Malus domestica (apple). RNAcentral describes it as "long non-coding RNA (MDOM_LNC013350)". Lineage: Eukaryota; Viridiplantae; Streptophyta; Magnoliopsida; Rosales; Rosaceae. The record is from RNAcentral.
AAUUGAAAUUAAACAUUGAAAACCAAAGUAGAAUACAUCUAGAAUGCUCCAGCAAUCCAAAUUGAAUGACUAGCACAACUCCAAGCAAUCCAUCUUCCUUGCAAAUAUGUGGCACCAUGGUGUGAGUGGUGAAUGGAUGGUCUCUUGUGGUGGUGGAUGGAUAUAGGUGAGUUAUGGUGAAGGGUGGAGAGUUGUGUAGAUGAUGUGGUGUCUUUGGAUGAUGGCCCCCCAAAUUAUGGUGAAGGGUGGAUGUAUUUAUAGGAUAAGGAGAGGAGUGUAUGGAGUUGUAAUGAGUGGAUGUAAUGGGUGUAGUGGGUGAGUGUUGUGGUAAUGAGUGGAUGUAAUGGGUGUAGUGGAUGAGUGUUUGGUAAUGAGUGGAUGUAAUGGGUGUAGUGGGUGAGUGUUGUGGUAAUGAGUGGAUGUAAUGGGUGUAGUGGGUGGAUGUUUGGUAAUGAGUGGAUGUAAUGGGUGUAGUGGAUGGAUGUUUGGAGUUGUAGGUCAACACACUUGCACACACACAUGUUGAUUUCUAGCCUUCAAAUCUUCAAAAACGUCCAUCCUCAUGUCUCCAUGCUUGCACUAUCCAAUCUUGGCUCAAAAAUGCUCUAAAAUGCUCAAAAAUGCACUUUCUUGCCAACUUUGUUAUUAUGAUCUACAAACACACGAAAAUAGCUUAAAAUACAUAAUUAACUAAGAAAUAACAACACAAAUACACAAGAACAAGCUAACUAAGUCGCAUAAUUAUGUUCCUAUCAAAUUCCCCCACACUUAGCUUUUGCUAGUCCUCGAGCAAAACAAAAGAAACAAAAAGAAACAAAACAAACAAAACACAACCUAACCUUCCAACAUUUGCGUCAGGGAUUUUCAAUGAAACAUGACAUGCCAAAGAUCACCACUUACAUAGAUUUAAGCAUUCUUACCCUCGAGCAUACUUAAUCAUAGUCACCAUUCACUAGCUCACAUUUAAUCAAUUAAAACAGCAUUUUGAAUAUAGUAACAUGCCUUAGAGAAUUUCCUCAAUUCCUUACUAGAUACACUCUUAUUUUCACACAAGAAUUUCUGACUACACUCCCUAUACUAGGUAUAUGUGAGAAGAUUGAUGUAAACAUGGAAACUAGUACUCACAUAUGUUUUUCAACAAAGAAGCAAUUUCUAGAAUUAUUAAUUCAUGUAUAUAUAUGAUCUCAUGAAUGGAAUGCUACUACUUAGAUGCGAGAACCAGUGACACCAUAUGCUCAUAUCAAUUUCAAACUCCACAAAUUGAAACACACAACACUCAAGAUUGAAGUCAAUGGUUGUAACAAGGCUUGGGGGUAAUGGCUAACAAAGAAAGGAUAGGAAUAACAAACGUUCUUAAAGCGAUAGCAAGCAAAGUAAUGGAAUCGACACUUGGAAUUUACUUUAGAAUGCAAAAAUCAACUUUUAAACACAAUGGGAAGAUUCAUGCAACACUUAGGGUCGAAUUCAAUGCUUUGGACCCUUUCUUCAACAAACAACACUUUAGAGCUCUUUCUCAUAAAUUUUUCAACUCUUUUCACAACUUUUCAUUCUAUUUUCCACGAAUUUUUCUUUGUCUUUUCCUUUUCUACCUGUGCCUUAUGAAGGACUUUGGCAUACACACACACACAAGAAUCAUUUCCCCCACACUUGUUUUUCUGCAAGAGUUCAACAAAAGGAAUUCCUUCUAAAUUAUGCUUUACUAUGCUUCAAGAACAAGGGUAUGGAUGGUCCUAAUCUAGGCUAGGUGAGGAUAGUGUGGGUAACAAAGAACAUAGGUUGUAAGGCUCAACGGGGUUAAACUUAAACAUAUAAUGAACGGGAUAGGCUUUUUGGCUCUUGGCUCACUAAACAACUUCAUCUUGAAUAUGUGUUAUGCAAAUCAAUAACAUGCUUUGAAUGAAAUAGGCACGAGUUCUAGCAUUUGGAACUAAAUGAUGAAACGCCUUCUAAGUAGCAACCAAGCAAAGAAUAAUGAGAUCAUGCAACGACUUUAGAAAACAAAAUAAAUUGCAUAGAUUAGUAACUCUCCAAAUAAACGUUUAGGCUCAAGUCUCACAAGGUUGUAGCGUACAUUUGAGUUCCUUCUUUCAAGCAUGUUACAAAAACUUUUUUUUUUCUUUAUGAUUGCAUGUGAAUUCAUAAAUUAUAACCACAACCAAGCAUACACCAAAGAGUAAAUUAAAUUUUCAUCCAUGUUUAUAACUCUCUUUAACAGUCAUGUAAUUAAAAACCAAAUCCUCAUCAAUGUGUUGGAAGGUACCCUAAGACACAAAUAAACAUACAAAAACAACUCUUUUUGGGUUUUUCAAAACAAUUUUUCAAAUUUUUAUGAGAUUUUCGGAUUUUUAUGUCAAAACACACUGAAACACUCUAAAAUAGCUUAAAAACACUUAAAACAGUAAGGAACAACACUAGAAGUAAUGGAUGAUAAACUCCUACGAAUUUCAUGCAAAACAAUUGUUACCCCCCCCAACACUUAACACACUUAAAUCAAACAUUGUCCUCAAUGUUUCAAGCAUAAACUCACACAAAAAACAAGCAAACAAAAAAAAAACAACGAAUAAACAUGACAAGUAUGGCAAAGUAAAAAUCAGAUAGAGUAGAGUUUAAGAACGCAAAUCUGGUUUUGGAGAUAGAUGAUCUUGUUGUCUUUCCACAGCUUUGAUCUCGAACUGGUUUGGAAUUCUAAGCGAGGAAUAUGAGAGUUCCUUGGUUUCAAAUCAGACUCAUUCUGCUGGGUUAAUUUGAUUGUGUAGUCUGCAUUCUUCUCUGCUUGUUUCUUCUGCACGGCAAGCAGGCACGAGGUAGAGGUGUUGGUCUGUUUCUUUCUUCAAUCUUUCCAAGUGUCCACCUCUUGCUUUCUUUCUCCUUGUCCCUAGCUAAGGAUGAAUUGGCAAAUUGUCUCCACAUGCUUCGAGGUAUCAUUUUCACUUCCCUUAUCUAUUCCCCAAGCAGAUGUGGUAGACGAAGAGGAAGCAUAAAAUGAUGAAGAUGAGUACUCGAGAGCAAGGCUAGGAAAGCAAUUAGGAAGGGGUUUCAUGCAGUCGGUUCCAGAUUAGAAGAUUGAUACCAAGUGCUGGCUGAUUGCUCUCUUUCUCCUUGUCCCAAAACAACGACAAGGAGAAGGACAGGGAGAAAGCAUGAUAUGAGAUACUCUUGCUUUCAACCUUCAUGAUAUGAAAUACUUUUGCUUUGGAUGAGUUGUUUGCAGAGGUACCCCAAGGAAUAAGGAACACUAAGUGACUCGAGAGGGUUUCUUAGAAAGGCAUUUUCGGAGAAGAAGAAGGGUUAUGUAUGUCUGCCUUGAAAUGGAAGGUGAAGGGUGCCAUUUAUUGGAAUUAAUAACCGGUACUAUUCUUUCACUCUUGUCAGCAACCGUUGGAUGAUUUAAUAGUGAACUUCACGUGCUUUCUACUUCACAAGAGAUCUUCGACAAAUUGCCCGUAAUUUUCGUAAGGCGUCUGCAUGUGACAGGCGCUGACACAUCUGGAAAAGCAGAUGUUUCUCCGAUAUCUGAAAUCGGCACUUCGAAAAACUGCCCUUGAUUUUCGCAAAGUUGAGUCUGCAUGUGACAGGCGCUGACAUGUCUGGAAAAGCAUAUGCUUCUCCGAUAUCUGGAAUCAGCGCUUCGACAAACUGCUUGUGAUUUCCGCAAAGUUGACUCUGCAUGUGACAAAUGCUGACAUGUCUGGAAAAGCAUAUGCCUCUCCGAUUUCUGAGCUUGCCUUUUUGAUCUCUGAAAUCCCGUCGAGUGUAGAGGUUACAUGUGACAAGUGCAGACAAAUCUGGAAAAGAAGAUUGGUCGUGGUUUUUGAGCAAGCCCAGCUUUUGAGAAAGCUAGCGCCUCUUUGAUUUUUGAGUUGGCCUCUUCGAUUUCUAAGCUCGCCUCUUUGAUCUUUGAAAUCCCAUCGCGUGCUGAUUUUUAUAAAGGUACGCAGGACGUUCAAAGCACACUUGAAUUUCUGCUUGUAAAAACUCCCUUCUUGCACUUCUACGAUCUUGACUUGUCCGACCUCUUCUUUCUUUAACAGCUCUGAAAAUGUCUGGCCCCUCCGACCAUCGUUUUGACUUGAACCUUGGUGAAGAGGCAGCCCCGCCUUCUCCAGACAACAUAUGGCGCCCAUCCUUCAUAUCCUCUACUGGUCCCCUUACCGUUGGGGAUUCGGUGAUGAAGAAUGAUAUGACAGCUCCGGUGGUGGCCAGGAACCUUGUCACUCCCAAAGAUAACAGACUACUUGCCAAACAGUCUGAUGAGUUGGCUGUUAAGGAUUCUCUGGCUCUCAGUGUGCAGUGCACAUGUUCCGUGUCCAAUAUGGCCCAACGCCUAUUUGCCCGAACCCGUCAAGUUGAAUCAUUGGCGGCUGAAGUGAUGAGUCUCAAGCAGGAGAUUAGAGGGCUUAAGCAUGAGAAUAAACAGUUGCACAGGCUCGCACAUAACUAUGCUACAAACAUGAAGAGAAAGAUUGACCAGAUGCAGGAAUCUGAUGGUCAGAUUUUACUUGAUCAUCAGAGGUUUGUGGGUUUAUUCCAACAACAUUUGCCUUCGUCUUCUGGGGCUGUACCGCGUAAUGAAGCUCCAAAUGAUCAACCUCUGAUGCCUCCUCCUUCUGGCGCUCCCCCGACUGCUGAGGCUCUGCCGACUACUGAGAUCUCUCCUAAGCAGCCUUUGUGAAGGCUCUCUCUUGUAUUUAUCUGCUUAAUGUUCCUUUCUUUUUUUUAUGAAUGUAAAAAUACCUUGCAUAACUGUCAGUGUUUCAAAACCCACACCAAAAACAAUUAAACAAGCAACAAAUAAAAAUGACAAUCAUGGAAAAAUAACAGAAAAGGGAAGGUUUUCAGAAUCGCUAAACUGAUUGUGGAGCAAUUAAAAAAAUCUUCCUUAUUUGAAAUCAUGGGUUGCCGCCCAAGAAACACUUGCUUUAACGUCUUCCAGCCGGACGAAACUUUCUUCUAAACUUGGAUAGGGCCCAUAGCAUGGAAUUGAUCCUUGAAUGGAAGGUGAUACUUGACGUGAUCCGACAAUGGUUUAAAUUCUAGCGUAGGUGUCUGAAUCAUUAAAAUUAGCAAGUUAGUAUAUAAUAAAAUCGAAAUUUGAGAAGAUGGCUUACUUGCUUGCUCCAACACAAACUCAAUUAUGAACACCACAUCUUUGAAGGUUGCAGGGUUAUGGGACUUGGCCAGAUUUGGUGUUUUGAGAGUUAUGACUUUUCCCGUGUCAUAAAAUCCAACUUUUUUGGGAGUUUUCGUCUCAAGGGUAUCUUCUUUGAUGAAUUGUAGACAUUCCCCAUCCACUUCUUGCUCUUGAUUCUUUGGAAAGGUUCUGAAGAUGCCUUUAUCACCUUCUUCUUCCUUGGAUUGCAUAAUCCUGCAAGGAAUAAGGAGGACAUUUGGUGAACAGGGUCAGGAUGAAUUGAAUUUAGACUUACUUUGGUUGUAGUGGACGGCAUAGAGGGCAUAUGAGGCUGCGGCAAGGGUGGUUCUUUCCUUGCCGUGGCCUUGUUACUUUCUUCUUCUUCGAGCAUCAGCUGUUCAUCCAUGUUUUGGCUUGGUUUGGACGUCAUGGAUUCACCUCCAACCUCCAUAGCACUUCCCAAAGUGAUAGCAUCAUGGAUUUCAAAAUCUUCCUUCAAAUUUUCAACAGUUGAGUUGGAGAAUUCACUUUGCUCUUGAAUUUGUGCCGUGAACUCCAUAAUUUGCCCAAAUUGCUUUUCCAAUUCGCCCGUCUUCUUGGCUUGAUUUUUCACCUCUUUGUUUCAGUUUUCUACAUCCUGGUUCAAAGAGGUGAGUAACUUAUUAAACAUAUCAUUAUCCAAAGAUGUACCUGAAUUGAAUUGGGCAGAUUGUUGUGAUGGUUGCAUAGGUCUUGAAUAGGAUUCCUCUUCUUGCUGCCAAUACCCAUCUUGUUGGAAUUGUUGAGGUUCUCCCCACAUGUAAUCUGAAUAAUCUCUCCAAUCCGAAUUGUAAGCGUUGGAAAACAUGUUGUCCCCCUGAUUGGCUAUGGCCUUGAUAACCCUAAGCAUCUUCAUUCGCAGCGAAUUGAGAACAUUGAUGAGUUGGAUAUCCUUGCCCAUAGGACACACCAUCUGUAGGGACACUUUGCAAUGUGGUCCUUUCGGCAUAUUGUGACAAUUGAGAAGUAAGUUUCGCCAAUUGAGCUUGAAUGGUAGCAAAAUCCAUGUCUUACUUCUCUAGUACUUGAAAUCAAGGAAACAAAACUAAAUCAAAUAUCAUAAGUAAAAAUAAAAGACACAAAUAGAAACAAAGUCAGUAACUAAAACAAAAAACAUGAAAAAGAAACAACGGACGAUUAGCAAAGUUGCUAAUCCCCGGCAACGGCACCAAAAUUUGAUGCGAAUGAAAGUUAAGCACUCAAAUUAAACCCUCUUUUGACAAUUGUAGUAUAUGUAUAAGUAGGGAUCGUUCUGGACCGGGGAUUAGGAGGGAUUACUAAUCUAAACUAAACUAAACUGACUUACAAAAAGAAAUUUAAAAACACUUAACUAGACUCUAUAGACUCAAAACACUUAAAACACAAACUAAAAUAGAUUUUAACUAAUUAGACACACUAAAGUAAAGGGGGAUUGGGUUUUGGACGAAAAUAAAGUAAAACAAAACAGAAACUAUAACUAAACAGAUUUGCAUGAAAUUGGUUGUUUUGGAUGGAUGAUGGGCUAGCUAGAAGGUCUUUCUCCAUACAUGACACACUUGCAUACAAAUCAAUCUCCAAUUGCUUUUCAAUAAACUAUGAUGCUCAACACCCCAGAUUAACCGUGAUGCACUAAUUAACCCUCAGAUUUUCCUUUACUCAUUGAAUUGGAUGAAUGCAUGCGACAACCCAAAUCAUUCUCUAAAAGUCCCCUAUAUGAAUGCAUAAUAGAGAUACAAUUAAAGAUCAUUAAGUUCCAUGAAAAUCAUAAGCGUUGACGACGCAAUUGUAACUAUGAAUGCAUGAUACGUUUGCCAAGAAUUCAAUUAACGCGAUUGUGACAAGCAACCUUCACUACUCAUGAAUAUAAACUUGUAACGAUUAGGUGGAACUUAUUUAUAUCCUAGCAUCAAAUUCAUGCAUGAAAACUAAGUAUGCAUCCUUAAUAAACAUACACAAAUCCGUUAUGAAUAAAAUAGAUAAUUGAAUUGCAAUCACAACUUAUCAAAUCACAAUUGGAAGAAAUCAAUUCAUAUUGCAAAUAUAUUCAUGGUUUCUAAUUCUCCUCUAGCCAAAAGAGGUUUAGUUCCUCAUACUUGCAAUUAAACAGAAACAAUUGAAAUUAAACAUUGAAAACCAAAGUAGAAUACACCUAGAAUGCUCCAGCAAUCCAAAUUGAAUGACUAGCACAACUCCAAGCAAUCCUCCUUCCUUGCAAAUAUGAAGCACCAAGGUGUGAGUGGUGAAUGGAUGGUCUCUUAUGGUGGUGGAUGGAUAUAGGUGAGUUAUGGUGAAGGGUGGAGAGUUGUGUAGAUGAUGUGGUGUCUUUGGAUGAUGGCCCCCCCAAAUUAUGGUGAAGGGUGGAUGUAUUUAUAGGCUAGGGAGAGGAGUGUAUGGAGUUGUAAUGAG